This 508-nucleotide ribosomal RNA is filed under the name uncultured bacterium. RNAcentral's name for it is "bacterial SSU rRNA". It matches the Rfam family "Bacterial small subunit ribosomal RNA", at positions 37 to 518 of the family's 1533-position model. The record is from RNAcentral.
UGGCGGCGUGCCUAAUACAUGCAAGUCGAACGGUCUUUCUAUGGAAGCUUGCUCCACUGAGAAGAUAGUGGCGAACGGGUGAGUAACACGUGGGUAACCUGCCCAUAAGAGGGGGGAUAACAUCCGGAAACGGGUGCUAAUACCGCAUAGUUUUCUUGAUCGCAUGAUUGAGAAAGGAAAGAUGGCCUUUGUGCUGUCGCUUAUGGAUGGACCCGCGGCGUAUUAGUUAGUUGGUGAGGUAACGGCUCACCAAGACGAUGAUACGUAGCCGACCUGAGAGGGUGAUCGGCCACAUUGGGACUGAGACACGGCCCAAACUCCUACGGGAGGCAGCAGUAGGGAAUCUUCCGCAAUGGACGAAAGUCUGACGGAGCAACGCCGCGUGAGUGAAGAAAGGUUUUCGGAUCGUAAAACUCUGUUGUCAGAGAAGAACAAGUUGGAGAGUAACUGCUCCAGCCUUGACGGUAUCUGACCAGAAAGCCACGGCUAACUACGUGCCAGCCGCCGC